This 708-nucleotide long non-coding RNA is filed under the name Rosa chinensis. RNAcentral's name for it is "sRNA RchiOBHm_Chr2g0096231". The record is from RNAcentral. Lineage: Eukaryota; Viridiplantae; Streptophyta; Magnoliopsida; Rosales; Rosaceae.
CGACCUAAUUUACCUCUACGUCGAACCGGUGUACUUUAUGCAUCACCCAAACAACCGAAUUAUCAAAUCACAUGAGAAAAAAGAAAAAAAAAAUCAUAAUUUUGCUGGUGGGUUAGAAAAUCGAAGUCAGAGAUGGUGCUUUAAAGCGGGAGUGAUUGAAAAAUGCAGUAGAAGUAGUAGAAGACUAGAAGUUGAAGGUUUUCCCCAAAUCACACGCCUCAAUUUCUGCGACGACUCCCCAAAAUGCUCACCUCCAAACCCUCUCACUCUCACUCUCACUCUCACUCUCCAAUUCAAAUUCUCACCGUCGACGACGACGACGACGACGACGAUGCCGGCGCUGACGUCAUCUUCCCUCCGAUUCCCCACAGCUCGUCCUCCGCCGCGGUCGCCCUCCACGACGAUCGAAAAGACCCAUCUGCCCCCAGAUCAUCUCCCUCCCCGACGAACCCGAUGACGGAGACGACGACGAGAUUCGGAUUCUCCGAUUCAAACCCACCAAAACCCACUUCAAAAAGCAAAGAACAAACCCGUUUACAUCCGGGUCCGUAUCCGAACCCGGCCAGUCCUCCUCCUCCGAUUCUCUCACCGACUACCCACCAUUCGUCUGUGAAAUCUGCGCCGACGACAAGCUUGGCUACCAAUCUUUUCCGAUUGUGUGAUCAACUACAUCGAUUCCAAGCUCCAAGAAAACGAACCCACAAUCCG